This 74-nucleotide transfer RNA is filed under the name candidate division WWE3 bacterium. Its description in RNAcentral is "tRNA-Gly". It matches the Rfam family "tRNA". Rfam says of the family: Transfer RNA (tRNA) molecules are approximately 80 nucleotides in length. Their secondary structure includes four short double-helical elements and three loops (D, anti-codon, and T loops). Lineage: Bacteria; candidate division WWE3. The record is from RNAcentral.
UGGGACCUAGAUCAAUUGGUUAGAUCGUCCUCUUACCAAGAGGAAGGUUCUAGGUUCAAAUCCUAGGGUCUUAU